Dioscorea cayenensis subsp. rotundata (Guinea yam) is the source of this 192-nucleotide long non-coding RNA. RefSeq lists it as uncharacterized. Lineage: Eukaryota; Viridiplantae; Streptophyta; Magnoliopsida; Dioscoreales; Dioscoreaceae. The transcript is spliced from 4 exons. The record is from RefSeq and is a predicted model, not a curated record.
UUGUAGAUGCUGGAAAGUUUUUCUAUCAUAGUGCUCUUCAAUGGUUUCCCACUUAUGGGUUGAGAAAUAUUGAUGCAGUUAUCAUUACUCAUUCUCAUGCAGACGCAAUUGGAGGUCUAGAUGAUCUCCGUGAUUGGACAAAUAAUGUUCAAUCACACAUCCCAAUCUAUGUGAAUAAUCGUGAUUUUGAGG